AUACGUAGGGGGCGAGCGUUGUCCGGAAUGAUUGGGCGUAAAGGGCGCGUAGGCGGCGCGGUAAGUCUGGAGUGAAAGUCCUGCUUUCAAGGUGGGAAUUGCUUUGGAUACUGCCGCGCUUGAGUGCAGGAGAGGUUAUCGGAAUUCCCGGUGUCGCGGUGAAAUGCGUAGAGAUCGGGAGGAACACCAGUGGCGAAGGCGGGUAACUGGACUGCAACUGACGCUGAGGCGCGAAAGUGUGGGGAGCAAACAGGAUUAGAUACCCUGGUAGUCCACACUGUAAACGAUGAAUGCUAGGUGUAAGAGGUAUCGACCCCUUUUGUGCCGGAGUCAACACAAUAAGCAUUCCGCCUGGGGAGUACGGCCGCAAGGUUGAAACUCAAAGGAAUUGACGGGG
Molecule: ribosomal RNA, 397 nt
Filed under: uncultured bacterium
Lineage: Bacteria
Description: partial 16S ribosomal RNA
Rfam family: Bacterial small subunit ribosomal RNA
Source: RNAcentral